Molecule: ribosomal RNA, 535 nt
Filed under: Gourretia sinica
Lineage: Eukaryota; Metazoa; Arthropoda; Malacostraca; Decapoda; Ctenochelidae
Description: partial large subunit ribosomal RNA
Rfam family: Archaeal large subunit ribosomal RNA
Source: RNAcentral
GUCUGUUUGACCUUAUAAACAGUCGGACCUGCCCAUUGAAACUUUUUUAAAGGCCGCGGUACACUAACCGUGCAAAGGUAGCAUAAUAAUUAGUCCUUUAAUUGAGGACUGGAAUGAACGGUCUGACAAGAAGAAUACUGUCUCAACCAUAAAAAUUGAACUUAACCUUUAAGUGAAAAGGCUUAAAUAACCAGGGAGGACGAUAAGACCCUAUAAAACUUAAUACUUAUUAAAUACACUGUUAACUAUUUGUUUAAAGCAAUUUAUUUUUCUAAUUAUUUUGUUGGGGCGACAAGAGUAUAACCAAUAACUGCUCUCAUUCUAAACAACCAUAUUUGCUCUUAACGAUCAUUAUUAAAGAUUCAAAGAAAAGUUACUUUAGGGAUAACAGCGUCAUUUUUUUUAAGAGACCUUAUCGACAAAAAAGAUUGCGACCUCGAUGUUGAAUUAAAAUAUCCUUAUGAUGUAGCAAUCAUAAAGGAAGGUCUGUUCGACCUUUAAACUUUUACAUGAUUUGAGUUCAAACCGGUGUGAG